UCUAUGGGUCAACUGUCAUGUCAAAACUACUUAAAAUAAGGAUUAAAAUCGUACUUUUAACAUGAUAUUUGACACUAAGUCAAAAUGGCGCAUGAGAACUCAUUUUUUAUUGGAAGAUUAUUUUUACGCAUUAAACGAGUAAGACUUACUAUAUUAAAAUGCUUAGACGAUUGCAGUUUCUUCCCUACGCUUUGUUAUUGCGUGAAAUAAACAUUAGUUAUUCUACCCAUAAUAUUAUAUAAAAUAGCUACCCAUAGAUAUUUUAACAAAAAAAUUAGGCAUACAGAAAAAAAGAUGCGUAGCUUCACUUAGUGAACUUCACUUCGAAUUGAAGCCACGUGUCUUUUUUUUAAAGUCUUCAUCACAUAAAACGCGUACAUAGCGCUCGUCAAGGCGUCAACAACUUAGUAGGCAUAGUAACGUCGCGUUUUGAAUGUCGCACAGGUUAGGCCCUUGAACAUGUAUAUAGUGCAUUUUUGGUAAAGAUCACGCCAUAUUUGCUGUGUCAACUGUACGAAUGUACUUGUACUUUUGACAUGACAGUUGACACAUGGAGCAAAUAUGGCGAAUACUCACUCAAAAUACUUAUCAUCAUUGUCUAACAUUCACACAAGAACGCUGAGCGUAUAAUAACAAAUAUAUUUCAACCUAGCGUUCUGACGUCGCGUCGUGUACUUCAGUGGCGAACUCUGUGUCACAGGUUCAAACUUGAAUAGUACAACACUAAGUGAAGCUGUAGCGCGGUACUAGAACGGGACGCUAUUACAUAUUGACGCGCGAUGUAACUACGCGUUCUGUUUGACGAAGGUUUAAUGUUACGAAAUUAUAGACCUUAGAACUUUUGACUCCAUCUCAUAUCGACAACUCUACUAGAUGAUUACUACGUACUGGAUAGUGUGAUCGCGAUGACGUUUGCUUGUUUUCCAUAGACACAAAACAGGAAUAGACUGAUUAGACUUGCAAUAAAGUUUGCGUUAUGAUUUAUGAGUUACUCGAAAUAAUCUGACAUGUACACUCUCUAUUAAAACUCUUAUAAAUAGCUUUACAUAAUGGCGUUAUAAUACCUAUUUUUACUUUGUAAAAUCGAACCCAGUUAUGCCACAAUCGCAUUGCUUUCGAGAAAGGGAAGUUUGACUUGAAGGUUUCUUAUGGUUUAACGUUUAAACGUCUUUCUUGCAAAGACACUUUAAAGAAAUAGCGACUCUUGCUCCGACGCUGUAAAGUGCAAUUCAGCUUGCACAGUGUGCGGUCUCGCGCCGCAUAUCGGCUCACGUGACUAAAUGUAAUUUAGUGUUUUAAAAGCCACUUUGCUUCAGAGCUUUGCCACGUUUUUAAGCAGCUUAAAUGUAUUCAUUUAGGAUUUUAUAAUUUAUUGAGAAUUCAUUACUUAAAUCUUUUUUGUCAAUUUAUGGAUUAAUUUAUUUUGGCAUAACUGGGUCCCAAACUAGGUGCAAAGGGAAGACGAAGACAGUGGAUAUGCGUCUUUUCUAAAAUGUUACAAAGGAAACGAUCUACAUGACGUGAUUGAAUUGACGAAUGAAUAAUAAAAGUUUAGUUUACUUUGUAACAAGAGAGAAGACAUGUGACCUAAACUCUGUCGUCAUAUGCUUUGAUCCUAAAUAUUUGGCGUUAAAGUUUUUUAUUGACUGUACACGUCGUUUCGAGUUGAACACACAGUGAGCACAAUGUGGGUGCAUAGUGUCUUAAUCUAAGUAGUUACUAAGCUAUGAAUAUAAUUUUUGUAUCAACGAUUUGAAUUCACAUCUGCGCAAGCGCAUGGGCUCUGCACACAACGCGCACCAUAAGAACAUGGUGUAGAGUAGACGAGGUGGUGUGUUCACGAAAGGUUUGCAAGCAAUACGCAUUCAUGUUUUACAAGGCAUGGCGUACACAGUUUUGGUGUGAGUAUAAACUUAAUACAUAUACGCCUUCGCGACAUGCACGUGCGUACAAAGAGAAUGACGCGUUCAUAGCCGCUGGAUGCGAGUUGUAUGCACGGUUUGUGCGCGUGCGCAGGUGUGGAUUCGUCUGUAGACAUAAUUAUUAUUACCUAUUAUAUGAAAGAAUAAACCUAGCCGCUGCGAGUUAGAGAGUAAAAAUAAAUAUUACAGUCUCUUUAAAUAAAACGUUGUCAAUUUGAUAUUCCUAAAUAUAAAUUUCAUAAACUCUUUUCUGAUAAAUAAAUUAGAGAAGACUAAUAAUCGAGAAUUUCUACUGCAUGUUUUAGUAGUAUCGUUCUAUAAAGCCAAUAGGAUUGCGUAGUACAUUGAGGCUGAAAUACAACGUACUUUACUUUUUACGGUUUUUUAUUAUUAUAAAUCUUCUUCACAUCCUAAGUCUUUUGACCUAUUUGGCACAUAAAAACAUAAUUCUGUGUAUUGACUGACCUCUUCUAUAAUGUCCAUUUCAGUGGUAUUGACGGAUGAUAGAGAGGAGGCCACCAAUGUUACGUCCCAAAUUCGUUCAGACAAAGUAGAAAAUAAUAAUCGAUUUAAUUACUCAAAUGUUUGAAAAAAAUUGUCAGGUGAAUCGAUUAUAAUUGUUUAUUCGGUCGGUAAUUUAGUCGAGCUAUGACAUAAAUGUUGGCAAUUUAGAGCUGUCUUAUAUAAAUACUAUCCAUUCACCGUCGUAGUGUGUCGGGGAUCUGAAAUUCUUGUUAUAAACAAAAUAUUUUAUGUUUUGAAUGUUCCUUUUCGUUGUAAGAGUGACAACACAAUGUGAAAGUAUAAUUUUGAAUCUAGGCCCAAUUCCCAUCUAGGUAUGUGGCGUGAUGUAAG
This is a long non-coding RNA of Maniola jurtina (meadow brown), 2777 nucleotides long. RefSeq lists it as uncharacterized. The transcript has 2 exons. Lineage: Eukaryota; Metazoa; Arthropoda; Insecta; Lepidoptera; Nymphalidae. The record is from RefSeq and is a predicted model, not a curated record.